RNAcentral lists this non-coding RNA (102 nucleotides) under Plenodomus lingam JN3. RNAcentral describes it as "Leptosphaeria maculans JN3 tRNA". It matches the Rfam family "tRNA". Rfam says of the family: Transfer RNA (tRNA) molecules are approximately 80 nucleotides in length. Their secondary structure includes four short double-helical elements and three loops (D, anti-codon, and T loops). The record is from Rfam by way of RNAcentral. Lineage: Eukaryota; Fungi; Ascomycota; Dothideomycetes; Pleosporales; Leptosphaeriaceae.
GCCCUCUUGGCUUAGUGGUAAAGCGCAUCACUAGUAUGAAAAUGCCACCUGGCAGUUUCUAUCCAAAUGAUGAGAUCGCUAGUUCGAUUCUGGCAGAGGGCA